AUGAACGCUGGCGGCGUGCCUAAUACAUGCAAGUCGAGCGCACAGACGAGGAGCUUGCUCCUCUGACGUUAGCGGCGGACGGGCGAGUAACACGUGGAUAACCUACCUAUAAGACUGGGAUAACUUCGGGAAACCGGAGCUAAUACCGGAUAAUAUAUUGAACCGCAUGGUUCAAUAGUGAAAGACGGUUUUGCUGUCACUUAUAGAUGGAUCCGCGCCGCAUUAGCUAGUUGGUAAGGUAACGGCUUACCAAGGCGACGAUGCGUAGCCGACCUGAGAGGGUGAUCGGCCACACUGGAACUGAGACACGGUCCAGACUCCUACGGGAGGCAGCAGUAGGGAAUCUUCCGCAAUGGGCGAAAGCCUGACGGAGCAACGCCGCGUGAGUGAUGAAGGUCUUCGGAUCGUAAAACUCUGUUAUUAGGGAAGAACAAAUGUGUAAGUAACUAUGCACGUCUUGACGGUACCUAAUCAGAAAGCCACGGCUAACUACGUG
This 496-nucleotide ribosomal RNA is filed under the name uncultured bacterium. Its description in RNAcentral is "partial 16S ribosomal RNA". It matches the Rfam family "Bacterial small subunit ribosomal RNA", at positions 29 to 507 of the family's 1533-position model. The record is from RNAcentral.